RNAcentral lists this unclassified non-coding RNA (387 nucleotides) under Hevea brasiliensis (rubber tree). Lineage: Eukaryota; Viridiplantae; Streptophyta; Magnoliopsida; Malpighiales; Euphorbiaceae. The record is from RNAcentral.
AGAAAAUCCGAGACAGUGUAAAAUAUGUAAAGACUUCAGAAUCGCAUGAGGAAAAGUUUGUUGAGCUUAAGGAACAACUUCAGGUGCCCAGUGAAAGAAGUCUAUCUGUAGAUGAUCAAUCUCAAUGGAACACAACAUAUCUGAUGCUGGUAGCUGCAUCUGAGCUAAAAGAAGUAUUUUCUUGCUUGGACACUUCUGAUCCUGAUUACAAAGAGGCCCCAUCCAUGGAACACUGGAGGCAGGUCGAGACUGUAUGUGCUUAUUUGAGACCUCUUCAUGAUGCAGCCAACAUCCUUACCUCCUGCACAAAUAGCCCAACCGCGAUUACAUUCUUCCAUGAAGUAUGGAAGAUCCAGACUGAUCUGGCUCGUGCUGUUGCAAGUGAGG